AAACUGCGAUAAUUAUUGCGAACUGCAGAAGGAUUGAGCACAAAAGUUUUGAACGCAAAUGGCCGCAUUGAGGUCAAACUCUUUGCAACGUCUGGUUCAGGGUCAUUUUCUCUUAUAGCGGAAGCUUUAAUUUCUAUAAUGAUGUUGUUGCUUUAUAUUUUAAAAGGAUUUUUGUCUAUUCAUGUAUUAAAUCUAACUGUGAAAAUCAAACAAUUUUGACCUGAACUCAGUCGAGAGCACCCGCUGAACUUAAGC
RNAcentral lists this unclassified non-coding RNA (255 nucleotides) under plant metagenome. RNAcentral describes it as "partial contains 5.8S ribosomal RNA, internal transcribed spacer 2, and large subunit ribosomal RNA". The stretch from base 1 to 105 matches the Rfam family "5.8S ribosomal RNA", at positions 50 to 154 of the family's 154-position model. The record is from RNAcentral.